Molecule: long non-coding RNA, 1040 nt
Filed under: Junco hyemalis (dark-eyed junco)
Lineage: Eukaryota; Metazoa; Chordata; Aves; Passeriformes; Passerellidae
Description: lncRNA (ENSJHYG00000017869.1)
Source: RNAcentral
GGAUCCCUCUGGCUUUUGCUGUUCUGUUUUGACCACAGGCACCUACAAAUCUUGGGGGCUGCCUUUUGCUUAGGAAUGGGACAUGGCAGUGGGGGAUUCCAAUCCCUCACUCAGGACAACCUUUGUUUUGGUUUCGGCCUUGCUCCAGGGUCACUGGGAUCAAAAUCUGCCUCCUGGCAUCUGUUUUUGGUUGCACAUCACAAGAUGACUUUGGAUUUUAUUGGUUUGGAGACAUCUGAAAGAAAUUUCAGGCUGGGUCCUUUGAUCUGACAUCUCCCUCAAAUCUGCUCCAAUGCCUGCUGUAAUAUGAAAGUUGAGAGUACUUUGUUUCUGGAAGUCAGGCGUUUUUUGCGCCUUUUGAAGUCCUCCAUCCAAGUUCUGAUGUCAACACUGAACUGCAGAGAGGAGAAUCAUAUUAGACUUUUCUUGAGGCACAGAGUGAAGUGACAUAAAUAUGAGUUAUCUGUUAAUAUUGUUGUUUUUGCUGCCUGGCCUGAUGACUGUGACUCCUAUCUCCAGUGCUGCCCAAUAUAUUCAAUCAAAAAAGAACUAUGUCUUACCCUUUUGGGUAAGCUGUUGCCAAUAAUUUCUUUGAGUCAGUUGAUUCAUUUUUAUUACUGGUUUUGUUUUCUUUGUGCUGAUAUUUCUGAAACUUUUCCUUGACCCUUGGAAAGCUAUUUGAAAUGAAUGUAUUUAAAUUUUUUUGUAGUGAAAAUCAUACUGUGACUUCAAUUUUGAAAAGUAUUGAUAAAAGUUAAAAGUGUCUCUAUUUGUUAGAAUUGCUCUUCAUGACUAUUUGCAAAAAGAGUAAAAAGUUCUUAAAUAUCUUUUAACAGAGUGAAUUAAUAAUUUUAUUUCCAAAAUCCAUCAUAAUUACAAUACCUGCAUUCUUUCUUUCCUUCCUGCUGCAGAAUGAGAUGAAGAGUUUUAAACUUUAUUACAGGAGAGCCGCUGCUUUUAUAUAACUGCUUCUAAAAGACUGCACAAUUUUCAAUUGCCAGUGCCUAAAUAAAAGAUCACAAAAUGAAAGUUCUUCUUCA